This 253-nucleotide ribosomal RNA is filed under the name uncultured bacterium. Its description in RNAcentral is "partial 16S ribosomal RNA". It matches the Rfam family "Bacterial small subunit ribosomal RNA", at positions 524 to 776 of the family's 1533-position model. The record is from RNAcentral.
UACGGAGGGAGCUAGCGUUGUUCGGAUAUACUGGGCGUAAAGCGCACGUAGGCGGCGCAGCAAGUCAGGGGUGAAAUCCCGGAGCUCAACUCCGGAACUGCCUUUGAAACUGCAGUGCUAGAAUCCUGGAGAGGCGAGUGGAAUUCCGAGUGUAGAGGUGAAAUUCGUAGAUAUUCGCAAGAACACCAGUGGCGAAGGCGGCUCACUGGCCCGAUACUGACGCUGAGGCACGAAAGCGUGGGGAGCAAACAGG